CUUCAGGUUCAUCCACAUUGUGCCAAAUGUUAAUCCUCUGUGGCCAUGUCGGGUCUGUUGGUGGAGAUGCCAAACACGGAAGACAGUGAAGUGGUGGCUCAGCGUUCUCCAAAGGAAUGAGCAAGCAGAUGAGGCAAAGCACACUCUGAAGAGUGACAACUAUAGCUUCCAUAAGAAAGUUUUGGAGGCUCCUAAAAAUGACAGAUAAAUGAACUAACCUAAUCAGCAAAAUUAAACUAUAGGAAAGAGUAUGGACCUUGAAAAGACAGAUGAUCCAAAUAGAAAAUACAUCAGCACGUGGGAAAGAGCAACGUUGAUCGUCUUCACGGAAAGGCUGAGGACCCUGCGCCUACCACAUGUUGGCCAGGGUGAGCAAGCAGUGAAAGAGAAAACACUUUUUUCAAAAAGC
RNAcentral lists this long non-coding RNA (409 nucleotides) under Homo sapiens (human). RNAcentral describes it as "non-protein coding lnc-CPO-1:1". The record is from RNAcentral. Lineage: Eukaryota; Metazoa; Chordata; Mammalia; Primates; Hominidae.